This 253-nucleotide ribosomal RNA is filed under the name uncultured bacterium. RNAcentral describes it as "partial 16S ribosomal RNA". It matches the Rfam family "Bacterial small subunit ribosomal RNA", at positions 524 to 776 of the family's 1533-position model. The record is from RNAcentral.
GACGAACCGUGCGAACGUUGUUCGGAAUCACUGGGCUUAAAGGGCGCGUAGGCGGGCUCGAAAGUCAGGGGUGAAAUCCCACGGCCCAACCGUGGAAGUGCCUCUGAUACUGCGGGCCUCGAGGGAGGUAGGGGCGUGCGGAACUUCCGGUGGAGCGGUGAAAUGCGUAGAUAUCCGGAGGAACACCGAAGGCGAAGGCAGUGUCCUGGCGAGUGACUGACGCUGAGGUGCGAAAGCCAGGGGAGCGAACGGG